Molecule: small nuclear RNA, 106 nt
Organism: Dipodomys ordii (Ord's kangaroo rat)
Lineage: Eukaryota; Metazoa; Chordata; Mammalia; Rodentia; Heteromyidae
Source: Ensembl
GUGCUCACUGCAGCAGCACAUACACUAAAAAUGGAACAAUACAGACAAGAUUAGCAUGACUUUUUGCAAAGAUGACACACAAAUUAGUGAAGUACUCCAUAGUGUU